Molecule: ribosomal RNA, 321 nt
Filed under: Argulus sp.
Lineage: Eukaryota; Metazoa; Arthropoda; Ichthyostraca; Arguloida; Argulidae
Description: partial small subunit ribosomal RNA
Rfam family: Eukaryotic large subunit ribosomal RNA
Source: RNAcentral
GAAACUAACAAGGAUUCCCCUAGUAACGGCGAGCGAACGGGGAAUAGCCCAGCACCGAACCCUGCGAUGUUCAAGCGCUAGGGAAUGUGGUGUUUGGGAGGGACUCUUCUCGCGGCUUUCGGCUAGCGCUCCAAGUCCGCUUGAACGCGGCCACAGCCCACAGAGGGUGACAGGCCCGUUUGAACGUUCCGAGUCACGGGUUGGUCCCUCCUUGGAGUCGGGUUGCUUGAGAGUGCAGCCCUAAGAGGGUGGUAAACUCCAUCUAAGGCUAAAUACGACCACGAGACCGAUAGCGAACAAGACCGGGCGAAACAUGAAAAG